AAGCCAUGGGCUAACAGCAAUACCAAGAGGAGAUUCAGCUGCGUCAGAUCCCAGUUGCAGCCUUCUCGAUCUUUCACUGUGGCAUACAGGCUCUCUAGUUCCGACCGUCCCUCCCUUUCCUGAGUGCUCAGUUGUGUCUGACUCUUUUCGACCCACGGACUGUAGACCACCAGGCUCCUCUGUCCAUGGGACUCUCCAGGCAAGAAUACUGGAGUGGGUUGCCAUUUUCUUUAAGGGAUCUUCCCGACCCAGGGAUCCAACACAUGUCUCCCAUGUUGGCAGGAAUAUUCAACUGCUUGGGUGUGGGCCCAAAGGAGGCAGAGAAGCUGGUUCACUGACUGCUGAGGUUUUUUUAGGUGUCUUCAUUGCUGUCUCUCUGUGUGCCUGCACACACUCAAACACAUCCACAAAAACACGAUUGGAAAAAUACAGGAAGACGUUGUGUUCAUUUUCCUUGUUAAUACCUUGAGUUCUUCAUAUCCAUGAAUGGAGUAG
Molecule: long non-coding RNA, 495 nt
Organism: Bos taurus (domestic cattle)
Lineage: Eukaryota; Metazoa; Chordata; Mammalia; Artiodactyla; Bovidae
Source: Ensembl